Molecule: ribosomal RNA, 484 nt
Filed under: uncultured bacterium
Lineage: Bacteria
Description: partial 16S ribosomal RNA
Rfam family: Bacterial small subunit ribosomal RNA
Source: RNAcentral
AUUGAACGCUGGCGGCAUGCUUUACACAUGCAAGUCGAACGGCAGCGCGGGCUUCGGCCUGGCGGCGAGUGGCGAACGGGUGAGUAAUACAUCGGAACGUGCCCAGUAGUGGGGGAUAGCUCGGCGAAAGCCGGAUUAAUACCGCAUACGACCUGAGGGUGAAAGCGGGGGAUCUUCGGACCUCGCGCUAUUGGAGCGGCCGAUGGCAGAUUAGCUAGUUGAUGGGGUAAAGGCCUACCAAGGCGACGAUCUGUAGCUGGUCUGAGAGGACGACCAGCCACACUGGGACUGAGACACGGCCCAGACUCCUACGGGAGGCAGCAGUGGGGAAUUUUGGACAAUGGGCGAAAGCCUGAUCCAGCAAUGCCGCGUGUGUGAUGAAGGCCUUCGGGUUGUAAAGCACUUUUGGCGGGAACGAAAAGGACUGUGCCAAUACCACGGUUCGAUGACGGUACCCGCAGAAUAAGCACCGGCUAACUACGUG